Molecule: RNA transcript, 1173 nt
Organism: Elaeis guineensis (African oil palm)
Lineage: Eukaryota; Viridiplantae; Streptophyta; Magnoliopsida; Arecales; Arecaceae
Source: RefSeq, a predicted model, not a curated record
CGCUACAUGAAAUCAUCCCUGCGGGCCAAAAGUUUCUAUUGCUUUCAGCACAGAACCUUUGCACGGGCCUAAGGGGCAAGAAGGAAACUUUCGUUGAGAAUGGCAUUAAGGGGGCAAGAAGAGAACUUUCUGUUGGUCGAACCCCCGCACAGGCCUAACGGGUAAGAAGGAAACUACAUUUAAGAAUGAAACUUUUCAUUGCUCGAAUCUCUGCACCGGCCUAUGGGAACUUCCAUUAGGAAUUGCGCGCCAAAGGGGCAAGAAGAGAACUUCCAUUAAGAAUGGCAGCAGAAGGGGGAAGUUCUCAUUGCUCAGAACGCCCCACCUCCCAUUGCUCAGCACGCUCAGCUGAAUGAUCUCCCAUUGAACAACGGCAAGGAUGGAAGCAAGAACAACAACUCUUGGCCUCGUACUUCUAGCAGAUGAUAUUUUUUAAAUUCGUAGAUCUUUCCGACAAAUAAUCGAUGUGGGAUCUAUAAAUAGUAAAUAGGCCCCUUAGGCCACGCCCAUCGAUCUCCGAGAAAACAUGGCUGUCUUCUCCAUUCUCGCUGCUCUCCAAGUCCUUGGAUUCAUUGCCAUCCCCUAUGCCAAGAACGCAAGUGGCUACGGAAGUGAUGAGGUGAACUGUGGCGAAGACGUCGAGGGCCAGCUGCCAAAAGGGGCGGAAGCCGAGAUAGAUCCGACAACCCAGCAGAGCUGCCCUGAAGUCCAUGAGGAGGGUGUUGCUGCACAGGACAGUGGGAGAGGCGCGGCUGAUAAAAUUGUGCUGGCUGGGAGUGCCGAGUGCCCGACAGUGGAUGCUUGCGUCCCAGGUGCGGAUCUGGUUGGCCCGCGGCAGGUGCAGCGGAGGGGAAGGGCUCCCACGGCAGUAACGAGGUCUUGGAGGCUCAGCUGGGAAGAAGAGCUUCUGGUGACAAAAUUCUCUUAGGUGUGGCUCCUGAAGAUUCAGAAGCAUAUGAAGUGAAUCCUCACUUUCUUAUUUUCUUUCUAUCUUUUAAUAUAUGAAGGAUUGUCUAUGAAAAUAUAUGCUAAGACUUUCAACUUGCCACAUUCACUUCCAAAUGGUUAAUUUUCUAAACAGUUGAUUGUCCCUUUUCCCUAUCGAUCCAUGUCCAUGUUUCCCAGGCUGCAAUUGGAAUACCUUGUCUCCGAUCUCUUUUAUAAAAAUCAUUG